AUGCAUGGUAGCCGAGAUAAUAUUCCUUUUCCGGACAGGGACUUGGAGAAUAGGAAGGCGGCUAACAUGCGUAACGAGAAAACUGAUGAUGGAAACAAGAUGAUGGAAUUUUUCAAUGCAUUCCAUGCACACAAUGGAAAGUUCUAUCACGACAUAAUGUAUGAUGCUGAUGGUCUUCCGAAAAAUAUUUUCUGGAGCCAUGCUAGUUGCCGUGCGAACUAUAGUGAUUUCGGUGAUGUUGUUACGUUCGACACCACCUUCAAGACCAACAGGUACAAUAUGCCACUGGCAAUGUUUGUUGGUGCUAACCAUCACCUGCAGAGCACUAUUUUUGGUUUUGCCUUACUUCGUGAUGAGUCGGAGGACUCAUUCGUCUGGCUUUUCAAUACAUUCAAGAAAUGUAUGGAGGGCCACGAACCGCGUUGCAUUUUAACAGACGAAGACCAGGCUAUGGCAAAUGCAAUUAAAUUUGUGUACCCUAGGACUGCUCAUAGACUCUGUAGGUGGCAUGUCUUAAAAAAGUAGAAGGACCAGUUGAACAUCUUGUAUGCGAGUCGACAAGGCCUGAAGGAAUGGAUGCUCUCAGUGAUAAAUCACCCCCUAACACCUAAAGAAUUCGAGCAAGCUUGGGAUGAAAUGCUAACAACUUAUGAUCUUCACGGGAAUGUCACCCUUGCUGCCCUUUAUGAGAACCGCAGAGACUGGAUAGCCCCUUACUUUAAAGACAUAUAUUGUGGAAAGAUGACGUCAACUCAAAGAAGCGAGAGCAUGAAUAGGCUAGUAAAAAUUAAUUUUGUUGACCAUACCACUGCCCUGCAUAGAUUUGCUCGUCAGAUGUACCGUGUUCUUCAGGAUAGGAAGCACGCCGAGUCUAAACUCACACACGCAUCACAGGUACUUUGUCAAUCCAUCUUUUACAUUUUUUCUAUAUAA
This 933-nucleotide ribosomal RNA is filed under the name Triticum aestivum (bread wheat). Its description in RNAcentral is "partial small subunit ribosomal RNA". Lineage: Eukaryota; Viridiplantae; Streptophyta; Magnoliopsida; Poales; Poaceae. The record is from RNAcentral.